UCUUAUGAAACAAUUCAAUUUGUCUUAGGUCCUGUUUGAAUACAUAAAUAUCUUAUUUGACAAUUUUUUAUAAUUUAUUUACAAAUUUUAUACAUUUGAUAAAUCAGAUACUAUAGUUGGCCUAAAAAGUUUCUUUUGUUGGAUAAAAUAGAUCACAUCAUAGAUAAGAUAUACUAUCCUACCAAAUCAUAAAUACAAGAUCCUUUAA
Molecule: long non-coding RNA, 208 nt
Filed under: Ananas comosus (pineapple)
Lineage: Eukaryota; Viridiplantae; Streptophyta; Magnoliopsida; Poales; Bromeliaceae
Description: long non-coding RNA (ACOM_LNC020564)
Source: RNAcentral